CCUACGGGUGGCAGCAGUGAGGAAUAUUUGUCAAUGGACGCGAGUCUGAACCAGCCAAGUAGCGUGAAGGAUGACUGCCCUACGGGUUGUAAACUUCUUUUAUAUGGGAAUAAAUCAAGGUACGUGUACCUUCUUGUAUGUACCAUAUGAAUAAGGAUCGGCUAACUCCGUGCCAGCAGCCGCGGUAAUACGGAGGAUCCGAGCGUUAUCCGGAUUUAUUGGGUGUAAAGGGAGCGUAGGUGGUUUGUUAAGUCAGUUGUGAAAGUUUGCGGCUCAACCGUAAAAUUGCAAUUGAUACUGGCAGCCUUGAGUACAGUAGAGGUAGGCGGAAUUCGUGGUGUAGCGGUGAAAUGCUUAGAUAUCACGAAGAACACCGAUUGCGAAGGCAGCUUACUAAACUGCAACUGACAUUGAGGCUCGAAAGUGUGGGGAUCAAACAGGAUUAGAUACCCUUGUAGUC
This 460-nucleotide ribosomal RNA is filed under the name uncultured bacterium. Its description in RNAcentral is "partial 16S ribosomal RNA". It matches the Rfam family "Bacterial small subunit ribosomal RNA", at positions 338 to 795 of the family's 1533-position model. The record is from RNAcentral.